AAGGUCGACAUCAAGGAUAAAUACGGUUUUACCCCGAUACAGUAUGCCAGAGAGGAGCGUAUUAGGCAAAUGGUAUUCCGGAGCUUAUCCGAAGAUGAUGUUCAUACAUUCCGUGAUCUGCCGAUUGCAAGAUCUACUGAAACACAUCGUAGUAUUGGGUGUGAAGGCGGGACCCUACAUCU
This is a long non-coding RNA of Strongylocentrotus purpuratus (purple sea urchin), 182 nucleotides long. RefSeq lists it as uncharacterized. The transcript is spliced from 3 exons. NCBI's taxonomy places the organism in Eukaryota, Metazoa, Echinodermata, Echinoidea, Camarodonta, Strongylocentrotidae. The record is from RefSeq and is a predicted model, not a curated record.